Molecule: small RNA, 147 nt
Filed under: Marmota monax (woodchuck)
Lineage: Eukaryota; Metazoa; Chordata; Mammalia; Rodentia; Sciuridae
Source: RNAcentral
GCCAGGUGUAGUGGUGCCUGCCUAUAAUCCCAGUGACUCAGGAGGCUGAGGCAGGAGGAUUGCUAGUUUGAGACCAGCCUCAGCAACUUAGGAAGAUCCUAAGAAACUUAGCAAGACCCUAAGCAACUUAGCAAGACCCUGUCUCAA